This 491-nucleotide ribosomal RNA is filed under the name uncultured bacterium. RNAcentral describes it as "partial 16S ribosomal RNA". It matches the Rfam family "Bacterial small subunit ribosomal RNA", at positions 29 to 506 of the family's 1533-position model. The record is from RNAcentral.
AGUGAACGCUGGCGGUAGGCCUAGCACAUGCAAGUCGAACGGCAGCACAGUAAGAGCUUGCUCUUACGGGUGGCGAGUGGCGGACGGGUGAGGAAUACAUCGGAAUCUACUUUUUCGUGGGGGAUAACGUAGGGAAACUUACGCUAAUACCGCAUACGACCUACGGGUGAAAGCAGGGGAUCUUCGGACCUUGCGCGAUUGAAUGAGCCGAUGUCGGAUUAGCUAGUUGGCGGGGUAAAGGCCCACCAAGGCGACGAUCCGUAGCUGGGCUGAGGGGAUGAUCAGCCACAAUGGAACUGAGACACGGUCCAGACUCCUACGGGAGGCAGCAGUGGGGAAUAUUGGACAAUGGGCGCAAGCCUGAUCCAGCCAUACCGCGUGGGUCAAGAAGGCCUUCGGGUUGUAAAGCCCUUUUGUUGGGAAAGAAAAGCAGCAGGUUAAUACCCCGCUGUUCUGACGGUACCCAAAGAAUAAGCACCGGCUAACUUCGU